GUAAUAGCUCACUGGUCGAGUCGGCCUGCGCGGAAGAUGUAACGGGGCUAAACCAUGCACCGAAGCUGCGGCAGCGAACGUAUCACUUAAAGCGAUUCAGCGGGUUACGAUUGACGGAGCGAAGCGACGUCAAAGCGUAUACAAAGUCGAGUCGGUUUAAGGAUACGUUCGUUGGGUAGGGGAGCGUUCUGUAAGCCUGUGAAGGUGUCCUGUGAGGGAUGCUGGAGGUAUCAGAAGUGCGAAUGCUGACAUAAGUAACGAUAAAGCGGGUGAAAAGCCCGCUCGCCGGAAGACC
RNAcentral lists this ribosomal RNA (295 nucleotides) under Salmonella enterica subsp. enterica serovar Singapore. Its description in RNAcentral is "partial 23S ribosomal RNA". It matches the Rfam family "Bacterial large subunit ribosomal RNA", at positions 1134 to 1346 of the family's 2925-position model. The record is from RNAcentral. Lineage: Bacteria; Pseudomonadati; Pseudomonadota; Gammaproteobacteria; Enterobacterales; Enterobacteriaceae.